Long non-coding RNA from Erigeron canadensis, 1208 nucleotides. RefSeq lists it as uncharacterized. The transcript is spliced from 2 exons. NCBI's taxonomy places the organism in Eukaryota, Viridiplantae, Streptophyta, Magnoliopsida, Asterales, Asteraceae. The record is from RefSeq and is a predicted model, not a curated record.
CACUCUUCAACAAAUAUCAUACAUUCAUACUGCCACUUUCACAUAUCCGAUACUUUCACAAAAUUAAACCCAUUACAAAUCAUACUCACACCCACCCUAUUUGGCUUCUGAACUACCAUCUUUUUGGUCGGAAGAUCAGAUCUAGAACCUAUUUGCCCGUAUCUUGACUCAUUUGGCUAGGUUUUGACCAUUUUAGCCAGAAAUUGAGCGUUGACUUCGGUUGAUCGUCGUUGGCCGAUUUUUGUGAUUGAUCCGGCUAAAUCUAACUCGUGGCGGUGCCGAUCUCCGAUCCUUUUUCGGGAAAUCGGCUAGAUCGGCCGAGUUUUGUAACCUUGGUUAUUAUCAUUAUUAUUUUGAUUCAUUGAUAGUUCUUAUUUUCUUCUUCUAUAUGUAAUUCUUUUAUUUUUUAUUAUACUUCAAGAUAUAAAGUGAUAGUGAAUCACUACAAAAGAUCACUGAUGCUGUAAAUCUCUAACCCUAAAUACCGGAUUCCCACUUUCCUGCACCUGUAGGGUCGGGUGCGAAACUUGCAUCGAUAUUAAAACUCUCUUAUGUUAUAUGUUAUAAAUGUUCUUUUUAAUUAUUUGAUUAUGGGUGAUGUAGGAAGCAGAAGGUGUUUCAACUAUUGAUGGACCGUUACUAAAAAAACUACUGGUAUUUGGUUACUUAAUGAUUGAAAAACAUUCAAGUACAUUUGAGAGAGUGGUGUGAAGCUCGAGGUAAUCGAAGAACACGACUAAAACUUAUUAAGGGUUAUUUUUUGUAGUUUAACAUAUUAUAAGCUUAUGCGAGUUUUUACAAACUGCUUGAAGUAGCUUAGUCAUGUUCUUUAAAAACUCGCGUGCUAAACUACAAAAAUAACCUUUAAUAAGUUUUAGUCGUGUUCUUCGAUCCUUGGGCUUCAUGCCACUAUCUCGAAUGUACUUAAAUGUCUUCCAAUCGUUAGGUAACCAAAUAGGAUUUUUUAGUAACAGUCUACCGAUAGCUCUACCGAUAGCUGAAACACCUUGAGAUUCAUAUGCUACCCAUAGUCAAAUAAUUAAAAAAACAUCUAUAACAUAUAACAUAAAAGAGUUUUAAUAUCGAUGCAAGUUUUGCACGCGGUCCUACAUGUGCAGGCAAGUGUAAAUCUGGUAUUUGGGGUAGGAGAUUACAACAUCAGUGAUCUUUGGUAGCGAUUCGUUGUCACUAUAUUCACUGUUGUAAAA